UACGGGGGGGGCAAGCGUUGUUCGGAAUUACUGGGCGUAAAGGGUCUGUAGGUGGCUUGCUAAGUCAGACGUGAAAUCCCUCGGCUUAACCGGGGAACUGCGUCUGAUACUGGCGAGCUUGAGUGCAGGAGAGGAACGCGGAAUUCCAGGUGUAGCGAUGAAAUGCGUAGAUAUCUGGAGGAACACCGGUGGCGAAGGCGGCGUUCUGGACUGCAACUGACACUGAGAGACGAAAGCCAGGGGAGCAAACGGG
RNAcentral lists this ribosomal RNA (253 nucleotides) under uncultured bacterium. RNAcentral describes it as "partial 16S ribosomal RNA". It matches the Rfam family "Bacterial small subunit ribosomal RNA", at positions 524 to 776 of the family's 1533-position model. The record is from RNAcentral.